Molecule: ribosomal RNA, 253 nt
Filed under: uncultured bacterium
Lineage: Bacteria
Description: partial 16S ribosomal RNA
Rfam family: Bacterial small subunit ribosomal RNA
Source: RNAcentral
UACGUAGGUCGCAAGCGUUGUCCGGAUUUACUGGGCGUAAAGAGCGCGCAGGCGGCUGGUCAAGUCCGAUGUGAAAUCUCCCGGCUCAACUGGGAAACUGCAUCGGAAACUGAUCGGCUUGAAGAUGGGAGAGGGUAGUGGAAUUCCCGGUGUAGUGGUGAAAUGCGCAGAUAUCGGGAGGAACACCAAUGGCGAAGGCAGCUCGCUGGGACGUUACUGACGCUGAGACGCGAAAGCGUGGGGAGCAAACAGG